UACGUAGGGUGCGAGCGUUAAUCGGAAUUACUGGGCGUAAAGCGUGCGCAGGCGGUUUUGUAAGCCAGAUGUGAAAGCCCCGGGCUUAACCUGGGAAUGGCAUUUGGGACUGCAAGGCUUGAGUGCGGCAGAGGAGACUGGAAUUCCCGGUGUAGCAGUGAAAUGCGUAGAUAUCGGGAGGAAUACCGAUGGCGAAGGCAGGUCUCUGGGCUGACACUGACGCUCAUGCACGAAAGCGUGGGGAGCAAACAGG
This 253-nucleotide ribosomal RNA is filed under the name uncultured bacterium. Its description in RNAcentral is "partial 16S ribosomal RNA". It matches the Rfam family "Bacterial small subunit ribosomal RNA", at positions 524 to 776 of the family's 1533-position model. The record is from RNAcentral.